Molecule: ribosomal RNA, 253 nt
Filed under: uncultured bacterium
Lineage: Bacteria
Description: partial 16S ribosomal RNA
Rfam family: Bacterial small subunit ribosomal RNA
Source: RNAcentral
UACAGAGGUCUCAAGCGUUGUUCGGAAUCACUGGGCGUAAAGGGUGUGUAGGCGGCGUGAAAAGUCAGAUGUGAAAUCCGGGGGCUCAACCCCCGAAAUGCAUCCGAUACUGUCAUGCUGGAGGUCUGUAGAGGGGUCUGGAAUUCUCGGUGUAGCAGUGAAAUGCGUAGAUAUCGAGAGGAACACCAGUUGCGAAAGCGAGACCCUGGGCAGAAACUGACGCUGAAACACGAAGGCCAGGGUAGCGAACGGG